Molecule: ribosomal RNA, 254 nt
Filed under: uncultured bacterium
Lineage: Bacteria
Description: partial 16S ribosomal RNA
Rfam family: Bacterial small subunit ribosomal RNA
Source: RNAcentral
UACGAAGGGGGCUAGCGUUGCUCGGAAUCACUGGGCGUAAAGGGCGCGUAGGCGGAUCUUUAAGUCGGGGGUGAAAGCCUGAGGCUCAACCUCAGAAUUGCCUUCGAUACUGGAGAUCUUGAGACCGGAAGAGGUAAGUGGAACUGCGAGUGUAGAGGUGAAAUUCGUAGAUAUUCGCAAGAACACCAGUGGCGAAGGCGGCUUACUGGUCCGGUUCUGACGCUGAGGCGCGAAAAGCGUGGGGAGCAAACAGG